UGGGGAAUUUUGGACAAUGGGCGCAAGCCUGAUCCAGCAAUGCCGCGUGCAGGAUGAAGGCCUUCGGGUUGUAAACUGCUUUUGUACGGAACGAAACGGUCUUUUCUAAUACAGAAGGCUAAUGACGGUACCGUAAGAAUAAGCACCGGCUAACUACGUGCCAGCAGCCGCGGUAAUACGUAGGGUGCAAGCGUUAAUCGGAAUUACUGGGCGUAAAGCGUGCGCAGGCGGUGAUGUAAGACAGAUGUGAAAUCCCCGGGCUCAACCUGGGAACUGCGUUUGUGACUGCAUCACUCGAGUACGGCAGAGGGAGGUGGAAUUCCGCGUGUAGCAGUGAAAUGCGUAGAUAUGCGGAGGAACACCGAUGGCGAAGGCAAUCCCCUGGGCCCGCACUGACGCUCAUGCACGAAAGCGUGGGGAGCAAACA
RNAcentral lists this ribosomal RNA (427 nucleotides) under uncultured bacterium. RNAcentral's name for it is "bacterial SSU rRNA". It matches the Rfam family "Bacterial small subunit ribosomal RNA", at positions 355 to 774 of the family's 1533-position model. The record is from RNAcentral.